RNAcentral lists this long non-coding RNA (1175 nucleotides) under Cavia porcellus (domestic guinea pig). Its description in RNAcentral is "lncRNA (ENSCPOG00000037329.1)". Lineage: Eukaryota; Metazoa; Chordata; Mammalia; Rodentia; Caviidae. The record is from RNAcentral.
GGAGGAGUAGCAAACGCUUACACCCUACAAACCUACCAUCUGAGAGUCUCCUGAAUGAUAUUUUGUAAUAACACUGAUAUGUCAAUAUUAUUGGAAAGCACUCUGGGAAGAGAUUAAAAGGAAACCUGCUAAGCUAUGUGAAGGGAUUCCAGGAUGUCUAUAAAGUGAUCUUCUAUUGAUCCUCAAAGGAUUUCAGGAGGGAAUUAAUGACUGAGAGAAAAUACUCUUUUUUUCCCCUCAUCCUAGCAUGUUUUAAAUUGUUUUCAACAGGAAAUCAAUUUAAAGUCAGUGUUUUUUUUUUUUUUUAAUCUCUCACAGAAAACUCAGAGACCAUUUCCAAUGGAAUUUAUGUUAGCUGAUUGUUUGGAAUGGAAAACACAAGAAUUGUGUCAUAGUGACCCAAAAUGUCAUUCUGCGUUUGCUCGUCUCGGGGCACAAGGAGAAACUGUCCUUGGAGCAAGAUCAAGCUUGAGGUUCUGACUCAGAAACCUGAGAAUCACAUCGUUUUCCUGGGGCCAUUGCCUUUUCCUGUCCUUGCAAGGAAAUUCCACAGUCAUGCAGCCACAGAAGAAUGCCGGACCGGGCCCUUAUCUAGUGUGCCUCUAUGGUUUUUUUUUGUAUUGAAGUCCUCUAAAAAGGUUGGCCCUUGAUAACAGGUAUUGUCUUUCAUCUGGAUGGAGAAGAAACAGGAAAAUGAUACAAGGUUUGAGAGCGGGCUCGGGAACCAGAGGAUGUGGGUUCGAGUCCGGCGCUGACCCUCGUGAGCUGUAUGACUUUGGGCCACUUACCAAACCUUCGGUGCUUUGCAGCAUGAGGAUAAGAGCAGAUCCUCCUCCCUGGGCUACUGGACAGACACACGGACUGUGAACACACCGCACUGCCCAAUCAGGGCCCGACACGUGCCUGUUUUUUUGUUAUUGUCACUGUGCUCACUGUUACACUCUAUUCUCUUUUUUUUUGUCUUUUUCCUUUUUAUCGGUACCGGGCAUUGAACUCACGACCGCCUGCUUGCAAGGCAGGUGCUUAUGCCGUUGAGCUAAAUCCCCAGCCCCUUACACUCUAUUCUUUAAGAGAUUUUUGAAUGUGUUUCAUUGUAAGGUUUCCAAAUUCUGGAUUGCUUGCUGUUAUAUCUGAUUUAAUUUGUCCAGGAGUUGUUUCAUUAAAACCAAAAUGCA